Molecule: small RNA, 127 nt
Filed under: Marmota monax (woodchuck)
Lineage: Eukaryota; Metazoa; Chordata; Mammalia; Rodentia; Sciuridae
Source: RNAcentral
GCUAGGCAUGCUGGUGCAUUCCUGUAAUCCCAAUAGCUCAGGAGGCUGAGGCAGGAGGAUUGCAAGUUCAAAGCCAGCUUUUGCAACUUAGCAAGGCCCUAAGCAACUUAGUGAGAUACUGUCUCUA